Molecule: unclassified non-coding RNA, 346 nt
Filed under: soil metagenome
Description: partial contains 5.8S ribosomal RNA, internal transcribed spacer 2, and large subunit ribosomal RNA
Rfam family: 5.8S ribosomal RNA (bases 1-120)
Source: RNAcentral
GAUGAAGAACGCAGCAAAAUGCGAUAAGUAAUGUGAAUUGCAGAAUUCAGUGAAUCAUCGAAUCUUUGAACGCACAUUGCGCCCGCCAGUAUUCUGGCGGGCAUGCCUGUUCGAGCGUCAUUUCAACCCUCAAGCCCUCGGGUUUGGUGUUGGGGAUCGGCGAGCCUUUCUGGCAAGCCGGCCCCGAAAUCUAGUGGCGGUCUCGCUGCAGCCUCCAUUGCGUAGUAGUAAAACCCUCGCAACUGGAACGCGGCGCGGCCAAGCCGCUAAACCCCCAACUUCUGAAUGUUGACCUCGGAUCAGGUAGGAAUACCCGCUGAACUUAAGCAUAUCAAUAAGCGGAGGA